RNAcentral lists this transfer RNA (65 nucleotides) under Enteroctopus dofleini (giant Pacific octopus). Its description in RNAcentral is "tRNA-His". Lineage: Eukaryota; Metazoa; Mollusca; Cephalopoda; Octopoda; Octopodidae. The record is from RNAcentral. RNAcentral also lists the same sequence under 1 other name.
GUGAAGUUAGUUUAUAUAAAAUAUUAAGUUGUGGGCUUAAAGAAAAAUUUUAAUUUUACUUUACU